AUGGGGGAUUUUAAUGAGGCCUUAUGGCAAUGUGAGCAUUUGUCUGCAACUCCUCGACCGGCCAAUCAGAUAGCUGCUUUUCGGGAAGUGGUGCAAGAUUGUGAACUGCAUGACCUUGGUUUUUCUGGGGCACCGUUCACGUAUGAUAAUAAAAGGAGAGGUGGAGCUAAUGUGAAAGUAAGAUUGGACAGGGCCUUGGCUGAUGAGAGAUGGCGAGAUAUCUUCUCUGAUGCUCACGUGGUACACCUAGUAUCGCCGUGCUCGGAUCACUUGCCAAUUUUAGUGCACAUGCAAAGGGAAGAGCGCACCUCGGUGCGUCGGCGAACAAGCCAAUAUGAGAUACUCUGGGAACGUGCUGGAGAGCUACCUGAGCUAGUGGAGAAAAUGUGGGCAGCCACCCAGACUAAUGGCAAUCUAGCAUCUGUUACGGCUGGUCUGCAUGCGGUCAUGCAAAAUCUACAAGGUUGGAGCCGAAGGAGAUUUGGUAAUGUAAUGCGUGAGCUUGAGAAAACACGUAGGAAACUGGAUCAUCUGUUGCAAACUGAUGGUGACCAACAUGAAAUAAGAAAAUUGUCUGAUAACAUGAACGAGCUGCUCUACCAGGAAGAACUCCUC
Molecule: ribosomal RNA, 615 nt
Filed under: Triticum aestivum (bread wheat)
Lineage: Eukaryota; Viridiplantae; Streptophyta; Magnoliopsida; Poales; Poaceae
Description: partial small subunit ribosomal RNA
Source: RNAcentral